AUGAACACUAUGAACUAACCCUAGCCCUAGCAAUAUAAAACACAACUAUUUUAUUAAUUAAACCAAAACAUUUAAAUCAUUUAAAGUAUUGGAGAAAGAAAUAUACCCAUCUAGGAGCUAUAGAGCAAGUACCGUAAGGAAAGAUGAAAGACUAAUUAAAAGUAUAAAGAAGCAAAGAUUAAACCUUGUACCUUUUGCAUAAUGAAUUAACUAGAAAACCUCUAACUAAAAGUAUUAUAGCUAGAUA
RNAcentral lists this ribosomal RNA (247 nucleotides) under Mus cervicolor popaeus. RNAcentral's name for it is "partial 16S ribosomal RNA". Lineage: Eukaryota; Metazoa; Chordata; Mammalia; Rodentia; Muridae. The record is from RNAcentral.